RNAcentral lists this ribosomal RNA (465 nucleotides) under uncultured bacterium. RNAcentral describes it as "bacterial SSU rRNA". It matches the Rfam family "Bacterial small subunit ribosomal RNA", at positions 338 to 795 of the family's 1533-position model. The record is from RNAcentral.
CCUACGGGUGGCUGCAGUAGGGAAUUUUCGGCAAUGGGCGGAAGCCUGACCGAGCAACGCCGCGUGAGCGAAGACGGCCUUCGGGUUGUAAAGCUCUGUCAUGUGGGAAGAAGUCCUUAAGCAGUCACUGGCUUAAGGGUGACGGUACCACAGGAGGAAGCCCCGGCUAACUACGUGCCAGCAGCCGCGGUAAUACGUAGGGGGCGAGCGUUGUCCGGAAUUAUUGGGCGUAAAGCGCGCGCAGGCGGUUCCUUAAGUCUGAUGUGAAAGCCCCCGGCUCAACCGGGGAGGGUCAUUGGAAACUGGGGAACUUGAGUGCAGAAGAGAGGAGUGGAAUUCCACGUGUAGCGGUGAAAUGCGUAGAGAUGUGGAGGAACACGAGUGGCGAAGGCGACUCUUUGGUCUGUAACUGACGCUGAGGCGCGAAAGCGUGGGGAGCAAACAGGAUUAGAUACCCGUGUAGUC